Molecule: ribosomal RNA, 429 nt
Filed under: uncultured bacterium
Lineage: Bacteria
Description: bacterial SSU rRNA
Rfam family: Bacterial small subunit ribosomal RNA
Source: RNAcentral
UGGGGAAUUUUGGACAAUGGACGAAAGUCUGAUCCAGCCAUUCCGCGUGCAGGAUGAAGGCCCUCGGGUUGUAAACUGCUUUUGUACGGAACGAAAAGGUCUCUCCUAAUACGAGAGGCUCAUGACGGUACCGUAAGAAUAAGCACCGGCUAACUACGUGCCAGCAGCCGCGGUAAUACAUAGGGUGCAAGCGUUGUCCGGAAUUAUUGGGCGUAAAGAGCUCGUAGGUGGUUCGUCACGUCGGAUGUGAAAAUCUGGGGCUUAACCCCAGACCUGCAUUCGAUACGGGCGAGCUAGAGUGUGGUAGGGGAGACUGGAAUUCCUGGUGUAGCGGUGGAAUGCGCAGAUAUCAGGAGGAACACCGGUGGCGAAGGCAGGUCUCUGGGCCAUAACUGACACUGAGGAGCGAAAGCGUGGGGAGCAAACAGG